Molecule: ribosomal RNA, 427 nt
Filed under: uncultured bacterium
Lineage: Bacteria
Description: bacterial SSU rRNA
Rfam family: Bacterial small subunit ribosomal RNA
Source: RNAcentral
UGGGGAAUUUUGGACAAUGGGCGCAAGCCUGAUCCAGCCAUGCCGCGUGCGGGAAGAAGGCCUUCGGGUUGUAAACCGCUUUUGUCAGGGAAGAAAUCCUUUGAGCUAAUACCUCGGGGGGAUGACGGUACCUGAAGAAUAAGCACCGGCUAACUACGUGCCAGCAGCCGCGGUAAUACGUAGGGUGCAAGCGUUAAUCGGAAUUACUGGGCGUAAAGCGUGCGCAGGCGGUUAUGCAAGACAGAUGUGAAAUCCCCGGGCUCAACCUGGGAACUGCAUUUGUGACUGCAUAGCUAGAGUACGGUAGAGGGGGAUGGAAUUCCGCGUGUAGCAGUGAAAUGCGUAGAUAUGCGGAGGAACACCGAUGGCGAAGGCGACAUACUGGCUCAUUACUGACGCUGAGGCUCGAAAGCGUGGGGAGCAAACA